This 269-nucleotide ribosomal RNA is filed under the name Gephyromantis luteus. RNAcentral's name for it is "partial 16S ribosomal RNA". The record is from RNAcentral. Lineage: Eukaryota; Metazoa; Chordata; Amphibia; Anura; Mantellidae.
AACUAUAAGACGAGAAGACCCCAUGGAGCUUUAAACCUAGCCACACCCAGAAUCUUUAUACCUAACUAUUAUCUGAACCCUGUAAGCUAGGCUUUAGGUUGGGGUGACCGCGGAGUAAAACAAAACCUCCGCAAUGAACGAAACUACCGUCUUAUCUAAGAAUAGCCCCUCUAAGAAUUAGCACUCUAACAUAAAUGAUCCAAUUAUUGAUCAACGGACCAAGUUACCCUGGGGAUAACAGCGCAAUCCACUUCAAGAGCUCCUAUCGA